UUUCGCAAUGCCCGAAAGGGUGGCGAAGCGACGCCGCGUGUGGGAAGAAGGCCUUCGGGUUGUAAACCACUGUCGGGAGUUAGGAAAUGCAGGUGCGUUAAUAGCGCACUUGCUUGACUAAGGCUCCAGAGGAAGCCACGGCUAACUCUGUGCCAGCAGCCGCGGUAAUACAGAGGCGGCAAGCGUUGUUCGGAAUUAUUGGGCGUAAAGAGCGCGUAGGCGGCCUUGCAAGUCAGUUGUGAAAGCCUUCCGCUUAACGGAAGAACGGCAUCUGAUACUACAGGGCUUGAGUACGGGAGGGGAGAGUGGAACUUCUGGUGGAGCGGUGAAAUGCGUAGAUAUCAGAAGGAACGCCGGCGGCGAAAGCGACUCUCUGGUCCGAAACUGACGCUGAAUGUGCGAAAGCUAGGGGAGCAAACGGGAUUAGAUACCCCGGUAGUCCUAGCCGUAAACGAUGGGCACUAAGUAGAGGGGUUUU
This 478-nucleotide ribosomal RNA is filed under the name uncultured Planctomycetales bacterium. RNAcentral's name for it is "bacterial SSU rRNA". It matches the Rfam family "Bacterial small subunit ribosomal RNA", at positions 364 to 832 of the family's 1533-position model. The record is from RNAcentral. Lineage: Bacteria; Pseudomonadati; Planctomycetota; Planctomycetia; Planctomycetales.